GAGAGUAUAGCUCAGUGGUAGAGUGUCUGCCUAACAUGCAUGAAGUUGUGGGUUCAAUCCCCAGUACCUCCA
RNAcentral lists this transfer RNA (72 nucleotides) under Camelus bactrianus (Bactrian camel). It matches the Rfam family "tRNA". Rfam says of the family: Transfer RNA (tRNA) molecules are approximately 80 nucleotides in length. Their secondary structure includes four short double-helical elements and three loops (D, anti-codon, and T loops). Lineage: Eukaryota; Metazoa; Chordata; Mammalia; Artiodactyla; Camelidae. RNAcentral also lists the same sequence under 2 other names. The record is from Rfam by way of RNAcentral.